This 345-nucleotide unclassified non-coding RNA is filed under the name soil metagenome. RNAcentral's name for it is "partial contains 5.8S ribosomal RNA, internal transcribed spacer 2, and large subunit ribosomal RNA". The stretch from base 1 to 120 matches the Rfam family "5.8S ribosomal RNA", at positions 35 to 154 of the family's 154-position model. The record is from RNAcentral.
GAUGAAGAACGUAGCGAAAUGCGAUACGUAAUGUGAAUUGCAGAAUUCAGUGAAUCAUCGAGUCUUUGAACGCACAUUGCGCCCCCUGGUAUUCCGGGGGGCAUGCCUGACCGAGCGUCAUUGCUGCCCUCAAGCACGGCUUGUGUGUUGGGCCUCCGUCCUCCUCCCGGGGGACGGGCCCGAAAGGCAGCGGCGGCACCGCGUCCGGUCCUCGAGCGUAUGGGGCUUCGUCACCCGCUCUUGUAGGCCCGGCCGGCGCUUGCCGACACAUCAAUCUUUUUUCCAGGUUGACCUCGGAUCAGGUAGGGAUACCCGCUGAACUUAAGCAUAUCAAUAAGCGGAGGA